GAGAGAGUUGUAUGAAGAAUCACUUUUAAGUAAUGGAGGGUUUAGGUUUAUGUAUUGCUUUUGUUGUAUUUGACUGUUUUCAUGUCAUUUUUAACCAAAUUGUUUUUCACUUGCCAUGCACUCUCCAUUUCAUUUAAGAGAUGUAGUAUCUGUUAUCAUACAGGGGUAUAUGCUGCUUGUUUCAUGAGGGGUGCGAUCAGGAGCUUGGCAAUGAAGAUUUCUCUUUGAGGAAACAGCAGCAAGAAUAAUUUUGAUGAGGGAGCCCUGUUUCUGUUGCAUAGCUUUGAUCAGGGAUAUCUGGUCUAAUCAUUUUGCAACUAUGCUUCCGAUACUGCUGAAAGUUUCAACGAUCUAGAGCAAGCCUUGUGCAGCCCUUGAAGAUGAACCUGAGUGCAGUGCCCAUGAAUUUGCGAGUUUGCUAAAUGCAGUGCACAUAUACUAGGUGUAAAGGUAUACGGUAGUGGACAUUUUAAACAACUUCAACGUAAUUGUUUUAAUCCC
Long non-coding RNA from Prunus persica (peach), 501 nucleotides. RefSeq lists it as uncharacterized. The transcript is spliced from 2 exons. Lineage: Eukaryota; Viridiplantae; Streptophyta; Magnoliopsida; Rosales; Rosaceae. The record is from RefSeq and is a predicted model, not a curated record.